AGGACGCUUCCUUCGGGAAGCGAGCGUACACAGGUGCUGCAUGGCUGUCGUCAGCUCGUGCCGUGAGGUGUCGGGUUAAGUCCCAUAACGAGCGCAACCCCUAUCAUUAGUUGCCAUCAGGUCAAGCUGGGGACUCUAAUGAAACUGCCUACGCAAGUAGUGAGGAAGGUGGGGAUGACGUCAAGUCAGCAUGGCCCUUACGUCCGGGGCUACACACGUGCUACAAUGGCCGGUACAAAGGGUUGCGAAGCCGUGAGGUGGAGCGAAUCUCAAAAAGCCGGCCUCAGUUCGGAUUGGAGGCUGCAACUCGCCUCCAUGAAGUCGGAAUCGCUAGUAACCGCAGAUCAGCUACGUUGCGGUGAAUACGUUCCCGGGCCUU
This 379-nucleotide ribosomal RNA is filed under the name uncultured Sphingobacteriales bacterium. RNAcentral's name for it is "bacterial SSU rRNA". It matches the Rfam family "Bacterial small subunit ribosomal RNA", at positions 1008 to 1382 of the family's 1533-position model. The record is from RNAcentral. Lineage: Bacteria; Pseudomonadati; Bacteroidota; Sphingobacteriia; Sphingobacteriales.